UUUAUUAUUUUUUUUUUGUUUUAUCCUUGUUAUGUCUAUCACUGGUACAGACCCCUUAUAAUAUAGGUGGUGUGUAGUUAGUGAAUUUACAAGUGACAUAAGUGUGUGUGAGAGAUUAGAGAAACGUAUAAAGAAUAUGUCCUCGUAUAAAUGUUCAUUUCUGUAAUUAUGACAAUUUGUUUUCUAGACUAUUGAACUAAGGUGGUUUAUUAAGAUGAAGCCUGCUAUUGUUUUGGACAUGUUCACUUUGUAGCUACACUGGACAAUCCAAUCCUCACUAAAAUCCAUUAAAAUUAAACAGUCAAAUCAUACUUAAUCAACCUUCGAAUGUUCAAUUUCUAAACGAUUAACUCUCGUAUGAACUUUUAUCCUAAUCAUCACAUACCGUCAACGUCAUUACUUUAAUUUUAAAAAAUGUUGUCCUGGUUUAUUUCAAGCUUACUUUUUAAUACUUGGAAAUUAUUGGCAACACAGAGUUAUGAUCGAUGAUCUUUAAUAAUUUUAUUUAUUGGAAGAAUGCAUGAAAGUCUGUGAAAGUUGCUGUUACGCCACUUGCUUUUCAAUUAUUUUACUUGUGGAAAUAAUUAUUAAUUAAAAGCUUCUCCCAUUUUCAGUAUUGGCUUUUGCUUAGUGGGGGGGGAAAGAAAAGAUACGGUGGUAGAUACGGCACCCAAUUCAUUGUCGUUUUUGUUUGCUUUGACUCCCUUGAUUAGGUGACGUUUGGUGAGACGAGAAACCCCAAGCCUUAAUUUUUACUUAUUUAUCCUUUCUUAAUUAUCUUAUUCCUUCAAACUAUCGCACCCAGGCAAACAAGGAGGAAAAAAUAUCAGUAUCUGAGUAGGUGGAGGUGUUGGAAACUUUGAUUUUAAGAACAUCAUGGGCAUGAUUUAAAAAUAUACUAGACAAAGAUUUCAAUUUUACCCCAAAGACACUAAACAAAAAGUGGUAAUUAUUUGAAAAAUAUACAAUUACCAUUUUGUGUAUGAUUUAGUUUUGGGUUCUUUUACUUUUGGCUGUUUAGUUUUUUGACAACUAUGUAUGUGUUUACCAUUAAUAGCGUGGACUUUUAAUCAACUACUUCUUUUUGUAAACAUGGGUUUAUUUAUUGCACAUUAUUUAUCUUUACACCCUUGAAUUAAAAUGCAUCAAUUUCGAAUUAACUCAUUCAUUGGGUAUUUCAAAAAAUAUUGUAACAAUCAUUAAAGCAGUUUGGGCCGAAUAAUUAAUUAGAUUAUAUAUCAAUAUACUUAGACCAUCUCCAUCUCAAAAUUUGUUUAUAAAUUUUUAAUUAUGUUCACGGUGCCACGUCAACUGGUUUAACAAUUCAUUAAAUGAAUAAUUUUUAAUCACCUUCAUCCCUAAUUUAUUUAGUAAUUUCUAUUCAUCAUUUAAAUAUUUCUUAACGAUAUUUUUGACCAAUAGUAAUAAAUCAUUCAUAAUAUAAAUCCUAAUUAUAAAUAUUUUUUCUUAAAAAAUUAUCAAUUUGCCUAUAUAGCAUUGCUAAUUAAUUUUCUAAAUUAAAAUUUGUCACCUCAUUUUUUACAUCAUUGUUAAAAUUUUGUAAUAUUUUGUAAUGAAGAUGCAUUUGUAAUUUUUUAAAUAUUGUUUUAAAAUAGAAUUUACAGUUGAAAUCACAUUUUUAUCUAUGUAAACUAUGGUUCCAAUGACGAGUGAAUUUUUACCUUUUUACUGACGUAAUAAUAAUCAAGAUUAUUCAAGCCGCAUGACUUUUAUGUGAUUUUGUCAAAUAUUCGUUCUUAUUAUGGAAAGCUACCGACUUACACGCUCAGGUAAAGAGAAAACCCCCACGUGUCGGCAGGACAUGAAUUAUGGGGCUCUAAAAUGGGACCCACCACACAUGCAUUGCUGAGUUGGUGGCCACUUGGCAUCGAUGCCAAUUCAUUGCAUUCAACAACAUGCUUCUCUAUGCCAAUUUUCGGUCAACGUUCAACGCAUGGCUCCCAAGUUUCAUUCAUCAUUCACCCUUCGAUUUGUUCACAUAUCAUUUGAAGAUACUAUUACUCUUGUCCAAUACCAAUAUGGUCAAAAACAAUUCAGCAAAAGUUUAAAUGAAUAUGAAAGUUACUUUGGAUGAAAUUUGAAAAUAUAAGAAGUAUAUAUUUUGAUGUUUAAAAUUUUACAUACAAUUUUGUGAUUUUGUAAAGGAAAGAAAGAUUCUAGAUGGUUGUUUAAAUUUGUUCAUUUUUUAUUUCGCUAUUAAUGUUGUUUAGGUUUGGGACAAGAUGAGUAUAUAGUCAAAAUUAUAGUUUUAAUUGUGUACAUUGGAUGGAGAAUUAUUGGAUAUUAAUAACUUGAAUUAUUUGAAUGGUUCAUAAUUAUAUUUUAUAGCAUCAUAUUACUACACACACCCUUUAAACAAAAUCUCAUGAAAGGAUGAAAUUUGUACAAGUUUACCAAACUUCGCGCAUAUGAAAUUGUUAUAUUGGGGCUGACAAAAUUCAACCUCAAGACCUUUUAGUCAAAUUGAACAAUGAAAAAGUUCUAAUAUUAUGUGAAAAAACCAUUACAUUUCAAUAACUUCCAUUGUUAGGAUAGGCCGAUCAUUAGUUUUAUAGCAUACCUUUACAUACUAAACAAUGUUUGAUCAUGAUUAAAAAAUGUCUAAUAUUGAAUAUUGGUGUACCGUGUCCAUACAUUUUAUUGAAAGCUACAAUGGUUAAGUUGAAUAAACAUUUUACUAAUACAAAAUGAACAUACAACGCGUAAUCUAUAACUCAACGGACUCAAAUCGUUAUCCACCUAACCCGUCAGUUUGACAACUACAUUAUUUCACUAACUUUGUUAUAAUUAAAGUUUUGAUUUGAGAGGCCUUUUCUUGACCAAAUAAUUUUCAACUCAAAAUAAAAAUGAAAAAUUGGGAUGGUGCCAAGCAUUGCAGUCUUGUCUCAUCUCUCCAGCCACCGUACUCCUCCGGCCCCCGGCCGUCCUCCAUUUUUCCUGUUACCUUUCCUUUGUUGUUUCCCCCAUAUCACAUAAGAAGAUUGACCCCCAUUGAAAAAAAACCCAUAUUAAAAUGGGAUUUCUUUCAGAGUUCAUCUUUAUCAGAAAAAACCCAUUCAUUAAUUCCCCAUCUUUAAAUUAAUCCGGAAAAAAGGAUUGGUGGGUAGGAAGGAUAAAAAGAAAUCGAAAGCCAAGUAGAAAGUCAGUCGUUUUCUUUGAAAUUUAGAAGACAAGCAGAUUUCCACACAACUGGGUUUUCUUCCUCCUCCUACUUCUCUGAAUCUCUGUUGUAAAUUUCGUCACACAAUAAACAAAACCUCCGUAGCUGAAGCUGAGAGCAGAAUGGGAAUGGCGAGCUCUGUUUGAAAUCUGGAAAAAAAAUUCAAACAGUCGAGAGAUGGGUGGGUGUGUGUCGACGCCGAGAGCAUGCGUCGGCGGUGGCGAGAGAUUGAGGCCAUCGUCGGAGAAGAAGAAAGUUGGUAGAAGAAAGAGGAAGAAGUUAUUAACAACCACUCAUCACAAGAAGUCUUCCAGAUUAUCCGACGCAUCGUCGCUGGAAAAUCAGCAGACGGUUACUGCUGCUUCUGCUGCUGUGUCGUCUGAUCAUCUUCCUCCUCGAACUUCUUUCAAUCAUAUCAACCCUUCUUUCCAAGGUCUCUGCUUUUUCUUCUUCUGCUCUGUUUUCCCCCCUCUGCUUUCUGAUCUCAAUGAAUGCCAAGUUUUUUUGUUGCUUUGUUCUGCAUUUUUGCUGUUAGUGGUAAAGGUAAUGUCUUUUUUGGUGUGAUGUAAGUCUGUAACUCAAGCUAGUGGAGUUUUUUUGUCCUUGUUGUAAAGCUACUUUUUUGGUUAUGGGGGGUUUUGGAUUUUUGAUGAUUACAAGGCUGGUGAUGUAACAUUGGCGGUCUUGCUUUGUGUUCUGAUUCAAUGCAUUUCAAGAGUUGGUUUCUUUCCCUGCUAAGGUACAUUGUAAUGUGUAGUUAGGCUGCCAUAGUCUCAUUUUUGAAGGAUCUUUAAGCUGGUUUUGGAACCAUGGCAUCCUAAUAGCUCGAAUUGUUGGAAGAUGAUUCGGAUUGGUUUCAUAUCAUUCAUUAAUCCUUCAUAUGUUCGGAUUCUAAACUGGAGAGUUGUUCUUUGAAUGUGCAGCUGCAAGCAUUGAGGAGGCAUGGUUUGAUACAAUAGCAGCAUUGGACUCUGAUGGCGAUGAGGAUUUCCAAAGUGUCUCAGAUGGUACGUUAAUGUUACCUUUUUGUGGGGUUCUGGUUAGAUGUUUUUGUGGUUAUAAAAGCUAUGAACUUUUCAUUGUUCUUGCAGAUAUCUUGUCUCAAAACGGGUCUGAAGGUGUCCGAUUGUCGAAUGCUACACUUCAUGGUUCUUUAUGGCCGAGUCAAGUGAAGCAACAACCGGUGUUCCUCGACGAGAUAUCGGUGGAGGAAAACGAUGAUAAGGAGGAAGGGCUGUUGGAUAACUGUGGUAUCCUUCCUGGUAACUGCUUGCCUUGCCUUGCUUCGACCACCGUUCCACCGGUGGAGAAGAGGCGAUCGCUUAGCUCGAGCCCUCCCAGCACUAGGAAGAGAGCUGCUAGCAAAAUGUCCUUCAAGUGGAAGGAAGGACAUGUCAAUAACCCCUUGUGUGAGUAAAAUUCUAGCUUAUCUUUUGGACAUAAUCAAGUGACGAACCCUGAAAUAUAAAUAAAAUUAUGUAAUACCCGAGCUCUGUAGGCUGAGCAAUGGCCUAGGGAGAGGCUCUCCUAGAUCCGUCACUGAUUGCUUGUUUGUCAUGUAAUGCCGUGGUCUUGCAGUCUCUUCGAAGAUGAUUCUACAUAGGCCAAUAGCUGGAUCUCAAGUCCCCUUCUGCCCUAUUGAUAAGAAAAUGCUCGAUUGUUGGUCUCACAUUGAUCCAGGCAGUUUCAAAGUUCGUGCUCCGAAUUACUUCAGGUAAUGGCUGGAACAAUGUGAGUUCCUAUCUAGGUUACAUGCAAUUAUAACCAGUUACUGAACUUAUCUCUUGCUAUUCCAGAGACAAGAAGAAGGAGCUUGCCCCCAACUAUGCUGCAUACUAUCCUUUCGGAGUUGAUGUGUUCUUAUCUCCUCGAAAAGUCGAUCACAUUGCUCAAUUUGUGGAGCUUCCUGUGACUAACACCUCAGGGAAGCUCCCAUCUAUCCUUGUUGUAAAUGUUCAAGUAAGUUCCUUUUCGCUUCUUCGAUCGUAUCGUAUGUAUCUUUCUGUUGGCAUCUGAUUCUCGUGGACUUAUCCUUUCUCCCCUUUUUGUUUAGAUUCCAUUGUAUCCUGCUGCAAUUUUUCAAGGGGAAACUGAUGGAGAAGGAAUGAGCAUUGUGCUGUAUUUCAAGCUUAAUGACAGUUACUUGAAGGAACUCCCAACUAAUUUCCAAGACAGUAUUAGAGUAAAAGCUCCCAUCUUUAUGCUGUUAUCUUGAUCUUCAUACUUAAUUUUGAUUACUCAUUGUCCAUUUACUUCUUGAAAACAGCGGUUAAUCGAUGAUGAGGUAGAGAAAGUGAGGGGCUUUGCUGUUGAUACAAUUGUGCCCUAUCGAGAACGGUUGAAGAUCUUGGGACGCGUUGUGAAUGUAGAUGAUCUCCAUUUAAAUGGUCCUGAGAGGAAACUUAUGCAGGCUUACAACGAAAAGCCUGUCCUUUCGCGUCCUCAGCAUCAAUUCUACUCAGUAUGUUUUACUGCUCUAGUUUAUGAGUUCAUCCAUCAUGGAAGAAUGAAUCCUUCUGACACGUUUUCAACGAUUUAUAGGGCGAAAACUACUUCGAGAUCGACAUAGACAUGCAUCGGUUCAGUUACAUAUCUAGAAAAGGUUUUGAAGCGUUCCUUGACAGACUCAAGAUCUGUGUACUUGAUGUUGGCCUCACUAUUCAGGCAAGAUACAAUCUAAUUACUACCACUCUUCCUUGUUCUCCAUUGAUGCUUCCUUGUGGAAUCUUGAAUCUGAAUUUCUGGUUGACAUUUAACAGGGAAACAAGGCUGAAGAGCUGCCAGAGCAGAUCUUAUGCUGCAUAAGGCUAAACGGGAUCGACUACAUGAACUAUCACCAGCUAGGGAUGAAUCAAGAUCCUCUUGAUUUCAUAAGUGCUUAGAAGUUCUUCAUCCUUUGGAAUCAAGAAAUAAAAAUGAUAAGGGCUCAGCUAGUAAUUCUUUUUAGAGUACAAAUCAAAAACUUCCUGUUUGUGUUGUCUCUUCCCAUCUUUUUGUAUGUGCAUAUAGAGAGAGCAGAUUUUUGCUGUGAACAAAAAGGUGGGAACUUUAUAACAGGUUGUGAUGUGAAAUUGUAUAAAAUGGGAUUUUUCUUGUUCAUCAGUCUCUACCAGUUCUUGUGUUGAUUACAAGGUAUCUCUCUGGUGGCCUACUUUUUCUUGUUUCUUCCUCCUUUCCCCCCAUUUCAUUUUCCUCUUGUGUUCUUGUCCUGUUGCAAAGUACUGAUUAAGAAGUCACUAUCCACCAACUUGUUUUGGAGUUUCAAGAAGGAUUCUCACAAAGGUUAGCACCUGCAGAAUCUGGACUGCUGUCAUUCUUAAAAUCACAUAACAAACACAUGGUACAUUUUCAGUAAAUAAUGUGAGCAAGGAUUGGGGUUAUUUGAAUUUGAGAUGGAGACCUCUUGGUCUGUUCAAACUUUGAUACCAUACAAUAAACUAUUGUAUCUCAAUAAUUUGAGUUGUUGAAAGAGGAAGAGGGUUCGGAUUGAAGUACCAAGUGUCGUCAAAUUCCAUCGAGCAUCUAAAGAAAUAUUGGUGUUCAAAGUAGUUUUUCCAGUCAUUAGAGUAAGAGUUUGAUAAACUUUUGUGAGUACUAUGAUGUUAGAAAUCGACAGACAAUAAACAAAAGAAAGAUAGAUUAUAAGAGAGACAACAUCAACUUUUUGACUUGGAAAACCCUAUCAAGAAAAAAGUUACAGGCGCACAACGACGAUAAAAACUUCACUGUAAUGAAAGAGUUAUAGCUUAUAGUGAUUUACUUGAACCUCUCUAUCUCCCUCUCAUAAAGUCAUAUUUCUUCUCAUAGCUAAUAACGGGUUUAUAUAGACGGAUGGUAUAAAAUCCGAAUAAGACCCUAUUGGGCAAGCCCGUAAACAAGGAAUUUGGAUCACUACAUUUCAACAUAUGACUCACUCACUUACUCGAACCAAGUGUUUUCUAACUAUCAUCAUCACCCGACCGGAGGAUAGUCACCUGACACGGACAUAUUAAUCGAUCGAUCCUUUCGAACCAGUUGAGAGAUUCCUGUCAUGUUUUCCUUAUCGGCACUUUCGCUGGCUAUAUGAAGAGAGCUCAUUAAACCAACUUGGGGGGUGUUCAUUAAUAACUGUGAAAACAACAGAUACCAGUUUACUAUUAGAUGGUGUUUCAGGAGGUACAAUUUAGCAUGUGUUGUGUAAAAAGAUACAUGGGAUGUGGAACCUUUCACCAGUUAGUUGCUGCUGUAGCAGCAUCAAUUGAUUGCUGCUGUGUUUAGAUGUUGUGAAAAAUUUAAUGAAGUGAUGUAGACUUCUCAAUAAGUUUGACAUCCUGCUUUGAGAGAUGCCAAUAUCAAUACAAACUCCACCACCAUCACCAAAAUAUAACUGCAAUAAAACCAAUUGAAUAACUAGUGGAAUUGGUGGUGUUUGAGUCAUAACAGAUGCUUCUUUCCAUGGAGUUGAUGAUGAACAACAUGAUGAUGUUGUUGUGAUAGUGUUCUGCUUGGUUGAAUGGAGGAAUCAGGGUGGCCGAAUCUAGUCCAUUGUCGAGAGUUCUCGGUUCCAAAGUGACGAAUAUUUAUGGGAAAAUGUUCAAAAUUGAAGUUUUUGCCUAGUGUGUUUUCAAAUUUUGCCAAAUGUAAGGUUUAAAUUCAUCCCGAACUUGAAAUUUUGUCAAGAAUUCCGACUAUCCUGGUUCCACUAUUGAAUCCAAAUUCAUGCAAAGACCGAUGAAAAUGGAGUGUAAAACAUUCAUUUUUUCCACUACAUAAAUUCAUAUAUUACUCUUUUAUGAUAAAUUUUUAUGUUCGUCUUGUACAUUGGUAAACGGUAAUCCUUUUGGGAUUGUAAACUUGUUAUUAUCGAUGACAUCUGACUAUGUGUUAUUAAGAAAAAUAAGAUAUCAUGCUAUUUUAGUAUUCAAUAUAAAUUUCGCAGCCUUAAAAAAAGAAUAUAUCGAUGUGUUAUGAUACAUAAAUAGACCAAACCAGCCCUUUACUUUUAAAUAGUAACAACAUAAUACAAGAAGACUCUAAUCCCAUUCCCAAUUUACCUUAUCACAUAAUUUCCUUUCUAAAUUAACCCCUUUCUUUCCCCAAACCCUAAUUUGCUAACCCAUUGAAAAAGAGUAAUUGAGAAAAUUAAUUGCUCAAAAGAUACAAAACAUUACACACCAAUCUUUAUUGGCCACAUAAUUAUUAUUCCUUUUAAAAAAACCCCAUAAAAAUCACAAUUUUUGCACAAAUUAGCAUCCCAUCACUUUCUCUUUAAUCUCAUCAACCUUCGACGGCGACGACGACUUCUUCUUCUCCGCCGCGACGAUCCCAUCGUUUCCGGCCAACGCUCUGUACUUAUCCUUCCUAGUAAAACCAGUGCACUCAUACGACAGCGUAGCGGCAAUCACUCUCUGUAUAUAGUUCGCCACUUCAACACUCGACUUCCCUCCUCGCGAACACGUCAGCUCCUCUGGCAACUUACUCAAAAACGUCACCUCAUAUGCCGGACUAGGAUUCAUAAAAAAAUAGAACGGAUCCAUCCCUUUCCACCCCCUCGCCGUCGUGCCGUGGAACAUCCCCAGCCGAUUCCCCAUCGCCACGGGGACGAUCUCGUCGGUCAAUUCGGCGAAGAGAGCUGAGAAUCGGAGCAGAAACGGUUCACGGCAAGUGGUCCCUUCGGGGCAGAUCACCAAAUCUCCUUCGCGGAGGAGCGAUUUGAUCAUGGCGGCGUCGGCGGCGCGGUCGCGGUUGAGGCGGACGGUCUUGAUCGGGGAGAUGAUUUCGGAGAGGCGGGAGACGGAGUAGACGACUGCGGUGGUGGGGCGGCCCAAGGCGGUGGAGAGGAAGAUCGGGUCGAGGAGGGUACGGUGGGAGCAGACGAAGAGGACGCCGGUGGAGUUUUUGUCUGUCGGCGGCGGCGGCGGGUGGCCGCGGAUCGUGACGCGGACGCCGAGGGCGGUGAAGGCGUAGUAGACUAAGGGCAUCGGGAGGAGGGCGCCGGCGGCGAUUCGGAGGCAGGCGAGGAGGAAUCCAAUGGGGAUCCAGAGGAUUGUGAGGAGGGCGAUGAGCGGGGUGGGUUUCUGGACGAGGCGGCCGUCGUGGAAGACGAUCGGUUUCGGGAGCUUGUCGGCGGUGACGGGUCGGGUUUUCGGGUUCGGUGGGACCAUGUAGCCUUCCUGCAAAUAUUUUGCGUAUUUUCCGCGGGAGUCGUUAGUUAGUACUAUUAAGAUAUGAGCAUGUCAUCAAAAGCUUACCAACCGGCAACCGUUGCGUUUGAAGUUUGGUAAAUUUAAUACGAAAAAGUCAACACGCCAUCAUGUUAAUUUUUUCUUUCCCAUGUUAUGUUCUCGUAAAAAAAUUAUUUCGUCCCAAUAACACAUUCAUUUAUGAAAAAAUAUAAAGUUGAGCUUUAGUAAACUAUAGUGCAACAUGUUAAAGGCCAUGGAGAUUUCAUUCUCUAACAUUUUAUCGAUCAAAUAUUUUGACAUCAUGUUACGAAUUAUUAUAUUACAGUGAUUUAAGUUGUUACCUUAUCAAAAUUGUUUUUGUAUUACUUUUUAGCCGUGUCAAAAUUUAGAUCUUUAACUUGAACUAUUAGUUUAGUAAGUAGCAUAAUAAUGAAAACAUAUUGACAAUCAUUUACAAACCUAGCUCUCGUCGAUGAUUUUGAGUAAAUUUGAUUGACGUAACUAUUUAUCCGUGAUGGGUACGAUACAAAAUUCUGUAUAAAUUUAUUUUUCUUUUUUAUAUAGAUGUGACUUAAUGAUAUGUGCAUAUCUAAUCAGUUAUCAAUCAUAAUUAUAAUCAUAAAUAUAUCAUCAUAAUCAUCUAUUAUCCGACUCCUCAAACAUCUAAUAGAUGUAUGAGGACUUUGUUGGGCCACCAUAUUUUCAACUUCGGUCUAAUACGUUUCAAAGCGGAUACAAUCCGGCUCAACUCCCCUGAAGAAUUUGUCAUUGUCAUGACCAACCACUAAAUCGGCUCAUUAUAAAGAUAUAGAUCACUAUUAAUAUCAAAGGGAAGCACCCAAAUUAGUUGGAUCCACUCUCCAUCUACUUUCAAUUACAUGAGUUAAGAGCUAUAAUAAAUUCUCAAAACGUUAUGUCCACGAAAUUGACCAUUCAAAGCCUUUGGUAACGCUUAUACUAAAAUGGCAAAAAGGUUGAAUCAUAAUACGAUGAGUUUGGUCAAAUCCCCAUCGUAAAAAAUAAACAAAAGGAAUGAUGUCAAAGCAAUUAAUUCAUGUAUGGUUAGGAGUUAAACCAAACUAAUUAUUCGGCACUAAUUACUUUCCCAAAAAACAACGAGACACGACCAUGUACAAGUGUACAACACACCCAUGCAAAAAAAGAAGUUAACCGGGUUGUUAUAAUUAGGAUCGGAUCGGUCAAUUUGGUCUGACCUAAAAACCUUAAUUAAUUAAAAAACUUUAGUUCAGAAAUUUUCAGGUUGAUUUUUGUAGUCAAUGAGAAACGAUAAUUCAUUCUAUAACGUAUGAAUAUAAUUCACGAAUUAUACAAUCAUGAAUGUUAAAUUACUAUGUAUAUUAUAUAUUUAUAAAUCAUGCGGUCGAAUUUUUUAUUUGAGCAGGUUAUUAUGAAUUCGAUUGUGUGUGAAUUUCUUACUUAUCUGGUUUUUGGAAUAUUAAAAAAACAAAACCAAAAAACCAACCUUGCAAAGCGCCAUAAACGGCUCGUCGGUGUGCCGGUCGCCGAGUCCAACCUCCGGCUGGAACUCCCCAAACGCCUCCACAAGCGCGUGAGCCUUACUCUCCCCAACCAAUACCCCUUCAGCUCCUUUCACAAACCCAGUGGCGCGUCCCUUAUACGUGGAAAUCUCCGUCCCCAGAACCAAGUCAACGCCAAGGAAUUCCUUGAGUGUGGGCUCCACCAUGAUCCGAGGGUUGGCGGUGAGGACGACACGCCGCCCCCCCGUGGAGAACACCCGCCAGGACUCCGGAUGGAGGUCGGAGGUGUAGAAUUUCGGGAGGACGGCGCGUGCGACGGACUCGAUCUCGGAGACUUUCAUUCCGGCGAAGGUGGCGAAGAUGAGGACCUGGAUGCCGGCCUUUUCGGAGACCAAGUAGUAGAGUAGGCCGGCGAUCGGGGAGAGCAAGAGGAGGAGGAGGAGGCGGAGGAUGCCGCCGGCCUCGAAUGCGACCAAGGCGAAGUAAGGGAAUGAGCUCCGGCCGACGAGGAGUGUGCCGUCCAUGUCGGCUACCACUGUGUGGCUUUCGCGGCCCGUGGAGUCGCAUUUUUCCACCGUGGAGAAUAUCGCCGCCGUCGCCGUCAUGGUGGUGGUGGAUAUAGAAGAGAGAAAGUUAAAGCUUUAGGUGGUGGUGUGGAAGAGAAAUGUGGUGGUCAUGGGGAUGGAGGGAUUUAUAAUAAGGGGAGCAUUUGAAGUAGACAACAAAAUUGGAAUAGUGGAUGCUGAUGGUUAGGGAUGAGCAAACAAUAAAUUAACUUGUUUGGAAUAAGUAAAUUGUUUUUGCUUUUUUUCAGGUGUUAGGAGCUUGUGAAUGGGGUAGAUUUUGUCAAAAAUGGAUUGAGGUCGGUUCGAUCGUUCUUAUUUAUCGAUUUUGAUUUAGUGACUCGUUAAAAAGUUCGUGUGUUGAGGUUUUAGAUAAGACGAAUCAGGAGUUUGGGAUAGGGUAGUUUUUGUCAAAAUUGGAUCAAGGCGGGCUCGAUCGGUCUUAAUUAUCAAUUUUGGUUUAGUGAUUUGUCAAAAUAGUUGAAAACGUGUAUUGAUCUGGUUGGACCUGAAAUUUUAGAUAUCAUGUACAAUCUAUUGUCAUGCGAGAUUUUUGUAAAUAAUUAAAAUAAUUAUGUUGGCUGAUAUAAUUUUUGUAGAUAUAAACAAAAUUUUGGUCUAAAUUACUUGUUAUAAUAAUACUAUAGGAUGAUCGGAAUAAGUUGACGUACUAUAUAUCAUAUUUGGUUUUUGUAAAUUACUUCAAGUAAUGGUAUCUCACAACACAUAUAUACGUUGGUUUCUUCUGAUUACUUUGCUAAUAAUCAACGUUGGGUUCGUUGGUCUAAAUAGAGUAGUUUAGUUGGUAAAUUUGUGGGUUGGUAAUAUAAGGUCAUUAAGUUCGAAUUCAAUUAUAUUUUCAUUUAUAUAGUGUGACAAAAAUUCAAAUCCGAUACCUGAAUCGACAACACACCACUCUUAGACAAAAUUGAAACGUUGGGUUGCAGAUUGCGGAUUUGCACACUAAUUAAACACAUUCAACAGUCAACAAGAGUACAGGGUUGGGUUGACCAGAGCAUGACAAGGGCCGACGUUCUUUCCGCCAAAUGCAGGGGGGAUUAACGAGGAAUAAUUAUGGGUUUGUAAAUUGCAGUUAAGUUAGUCGUUAAUAUUAACAAAGGAAAAAGUGUAGUUUGUCACAGAGACGACAAGAAAAAUAAGGUUGGAAACAUCGUCAGGAGUUUGUCCCACUUGUGACUGGCGGGUUUAAUUCUAUAGCCAAGCUUUGCUAAUUGCAAUUUCGAUGGCUACAUUUGUUGUUGACAGGUUGAACCAACAUUAAUUUUAAUUAAGUAUACAAAUACAACACUCUUUUGUCUUUGGCAAAUGCUAUACAAGUACGACUAUACUCAAGUCCCGGUGUUGUCGUCUUAGGAUAGUUGUAAAUUUAUAAAUAUAUCGAUUUAAUCAGUUUGAUUUAUGAUAAUUUUUAUUGGCAAUGAUAAUCAUUCGAGGGUCCGCUCAGUUACAUAUGAAAAAGUAUAUUAAUUAUCUUGUAAAUAGAGGAGGUUUCCGCACAUAUAUCCGUCACUUGUAUUAAGAAUAGUUUGCUAAAUCAGAAAUUAACUAUAGUUAAUUAUUGAAAUUAACCCCAAUCUUUUUAAUAAAAUUGAUAAGAACGAAACAUCGAUUAAACCGAUUAAAAAACCCAAUUGGUUGAAUUAAAAGUUAGCCAUCAAUAUUUGGUAUUAGACUCCAUGACCCAACAAAAUUAAGACACAAAGCAUACUUAAAGCCUUUUAACGGUUGGCGACCACCCACACAACUGCACCAUGAAGAAAAGUCGUAUAGAAAAAGAAAAGUCAUAGACUCAAUUGUUAGGAACUUAUUAAUGUCAUAUAUACAGUUAUUAGAUAUAACUAAAUGAAACCCCUAAUACAUACAGUUAUAAAACUACCAACUUUUUCCUUUUAAUACGAAGCGAUGUCGCCGUCGGAUGAACUCUGAUGUUUUCGGGUGUCAACUCAGAUGAGACCGGUGAUGCCAUCACAUGUGCUCUUAAAUGAUUGCGUAUUUAUGACUUUAAACUCAUGAUAUUUGGAAAAAAAUCAAAUACUACAACCACUCGAUUACAAAUUAUUUGGUCAAUAAUUAUAACCGACUAUAUACUCGGUUUGAAUACAAUAUAAUUUUUUUAUAAAAAAUCACCCAUCAUAAUAUUAUUCUCGUCCAAAACAUGUUAACUUUUGAAUUCUGAUAAGAUUUGCAACGGUUAUGGCAGCAAAGGGCAUAGCACAAGAAGUCUGCGGUCGCUGGGCCAAUAUAUCGAACCCAAAUAAAUUGGGCCGGGCCUCAAAGGUUUAGUUGGAAUUUUUCAGUUAACCAUCUAUUAUUCCACCAAAUGUGAUUUUGGUUUAGGCUAGCUGGCGAAUAAUAGAUAGAUAAUGGGAUUGCCCACUGCAGCCAACAUAGUUGAUGAUUGGUCCAGGGUUGAUAACUCGCCAUACAUGACUAUGAUUAUGUGUGGUACGUUUGAGUUUUCACAUCCACACAACAAUGCAUACCUUGCGAGUUUUGGCCUUUUUGGGAGAGAAUAUCUAAACGUACAUAAUUUAGUUUAUGGAAAGCGAGAUUGCAAACUUGCAUGAUAUAUAUUAGAUUCUGAUCAGAUGGUCAAAAUUGAGCAUAUUUGUCGCAAGGGUAUAUAACGUAACUGUAUAUUACCUUGCUAACAUUGGUUAUAUAUAUUUGGCUUAUUUGUGUUCAUAUUACCUUGGUCAUAUAUAUUCAGCUUAUUGGUCAUAUAUAUUCUGCUUAUUGGUGUUCAAAACAUAGCACCCCAUAUAUUACCUAUGAAAUUUGACUUUGACUUAUGACUUGUUUGAUAUAUUUUUAUGUUCUACUUCAUUUUGAAUGAAAGAUAGGUAUUGUGAUUUUAAGAAAAUGGAAUUUUAGUUAAAGAUUGGGGAGUUACAUCGUUCGGUUGUUCACUGUGAUAUAUAUUGUCUAAUAUAUUUCAACUAAUUUUUGGAUUUUGAACUCGGAUAUAAUAUAAGUUUUUUGUAUAGAUGUAAAUUAACAUAUUUCAUAUAUGUUGUAUAAUAUAUUUCAACUUCUAUCCACNNNNNNNNNNNNNNNNNNNNNNNNNNNNNNNNNNNNNNNNNNNNNNNNNNNNNNNNNNNNNNNNNNNNNNNNNNNNNNNNNNNNNNACAAAAGGGGGCCAUUACAGAAGAUGUCACCUAUCACUAAUUUCUUGAAUAUAUCAAAGUGAAAGAGGUUGGAAUGUAUAGUUAAUAGAUGACAUCAACUUUUCCCAUGGAUGGAAUUGGACAGGUUUGAUGAUGCUACCAAUGCUUUCAGCACAUAUAAUUUCAUUGUGGCUGAAAUCAAAAUAUUAUACCCAAAAUAAAAAGAAAAUCAUAAAAAACGGGAAACGAUAUAUUAAAUUAUCGAUUACAUGACGUUACGUAAUUGUAAGCAGUUCUGAUUAAUGGCGGAGCUAUUAAGGAAGGAGGGGGGUUAGCCGAACCCCUUACCUUACAAACAAGAGUCACCUAUUACUCACAAAAGUCCUUCGAAACCUCUAUGGAUUAAUCCUAUUACUAACUGUAAAGGAGUUUAAUUAGUAUAAUUACUAGCAGCUUUUUUAUACGGUCAGUAGUUAAUAAUUUUAACCAUAAUCAUUUAUCAAUCAUAUUUUAUACAUUAAAUAAGAUAAGCCAAUUUGAAAAUUUUCAUGUCAAAAUGACUCAUUUUCAUAGGUUAACCUUUUUGGAAAUUGACCAAUUUUGACAUGAAAGUUCAAAUUAGUUAAUAUUUUAUAUGUAUAUUGGGAAUAGUUAAGAAUUAAAAUUUCACAAUGUUAACCCUUUAAAUAAUGGAUAAAUGAAAUUAGAAAGACAUUUUUUAAAGGUUUUAAUUGUUGGUGUUAGUGAGAUAUAUGUAUUUUUAAUUAUAAAAAUUUUAAUUUAAAUUUCUAAUAAUUUUCUGCCAUAUAUUAUUAAAUACAAAUUUCGAACCCAUCGCUUUGGGUCAAUGGCCGCACCGAACAAGUUAAAAAAGCUUUUCUUAUCAUUACAACGCAUAACUCAAAAUAGUACAAAGGGGGUAAAUUUAGUCCUAAUCAUUUGGAGACAUUUGCAUGCUAAUGUUCCAAAUAACUAAAUACAAAACAUUUAAAUAUCAUCCCCAUGCAAGUUGCUGCUAAUUUAACACGUUCUUUAUUUAAUAAUAAUUUCCUCUUUGUGAAAAAGACAUGACGACUUUGGUCCUAUUAUUGUACUCGGUCUUUCAAACGCGGCAACUCGCUUUCUUCCCCUGCAAACACACACACAUACCAAGACACAAGUUAGUUUAGGCGUCGUUUGGUACAGAGUAUCGAGUACUAAAUCGAGAAAAAAAUGUCAAGAACCGUUACAUCUCAAAUUGUUGAAAGAGGUUCAAAUUGGUUUUGUAUAUAGUAUUCAUUAACAUAUCCUCUCAAACAGAAGCUCUAAGAUGAGCCGAGGUUCACACGGUAAGUCAUGGGGGUGACCGGAAUUUGAUCGGAGGCUUCUCAGUUUUUUAAGGCUCUAAUACCAUGUUAAGAACUGUUGCAUUCCAAUAACUCGAGUUUGUUAAAAUAGAGUUCAGAUUGAUUUUAUAGUAUUUCAUUGAUAAAAACUUGCUUAUAAUGUUUGGUAUGUAUAUUUGGUAAUAAAUAAUAGUAAAAGAUAGUAUAACAAAAAUAAUUGAAAAAUCUGUGAUACGGAAACAGGGUUUUGAAAUAAUUUGUCACUAAUAAAAAUAUGUUUAAUUAUUUCAAAUUAAAUAAUUUUCCCGCUAACCCAAUUAUAUUUCUCUAUAUGCCAAACAGCCCCUUAUCCAAUUAUUGAAUUAUGUGUGACUUAGUUUGAAAUAUCGGUAAUGAUAUUAUUACCUUGGGGGGUUGACUGAUCUAGACGUGGUGUGGUGGAGGAGGUGAAGCAUAGAUGUAAUGCGGAGGUGGCUUGUGCACCGGCGGCGGCGGUGACUUGUACUUGUAAACCGGUGGCGGUGGUGACUUAUAGACCGGUGGUGGUGGUGGAGACUUGUACUUGUAUGGCUUUGUUGGUGGAGGAGGCGACUUGUACACCGGUGGCGGUGGUGACUUGUACUUGUAAACCGGAGUUGGUGGUGGUGGUGACUUGUACACUGGUGGAGGCGGUGAUUUGUAUUUGUACAUCGGCGUGGGUGGUGGUGGUGACUUGUACACCG
RNAcentral lists this long non-coding RNA (16582 nucleotides) under Linum usitatissimum (flax). RNAcentral's name for it is "long non-coding RNA (LUSI_LNC008230)". Lineage: Eukaryota; Viridiplantae; Streptophyta; Magnoliopsida; Malpighiales; Linaceae. The record is from RNAcentral.